UACGUAGGGUGCGAGCGUUGUCCGGAAUUAUUGGGCGUAAAGAGCUCGUAGGCGGUCUGUCGCGUCUGCUGUGAAAACUCAGGGCUUAACCCUGAGCUUGCAGUGGGUACGGGCAGACUAGAGUGCGGUAGGGGAGACUGGAACUCCUGGUGUAGCGGUGAAAUGCGCAGAUAUCAGGAGGAACACCGGUGGCGAAGGCGGGUCUCUGGGCCGUAACUGACGCUGAGGAGCGAAAGCAUGGGGAGCGAACAGG
This 253-nucleotide ribosomal RNA is filed under the name uncultured bacterium. Its description in RNAcentral is "partial 16S ribosomal RNA". It matches the Rfam family "Bacterial small subunit ribosomal RNA", at positions 524 to 776 of the family's 1533-position model. The record is from RNAcentral.